RNAcentral lists this long non-coding RNA (392 nucleotides) under Ananas comosus (pineapple). RNAcentral describes it as "long non-coding RNA (ACOM_LNC003380)". Lineage: Eukaryota; Viridiplantae; Streptophyta; Magnoliopsida; Poales; Bromeliaceae. The record is from RNAcentral.
UAAAAUCCAAAUAUUCAAAAAAUAAUAUCUAUACCUCUAUAUCUAUAUCUAUACCUCUAUAAUAAUAAUAAUAACUAUACAUGAAUUCUCAUGGCUAAAUCCACAUGGAUGUACCACCUUCAUUUGAGGGUGGUGGAACCCACUAUUAUUUUUAAUUUUUUUAUUCGCUUUUGUUCUAGUAAAAUUAUUUUCUCUCUCACUACCACUUUUUUCAACCCUCUUUUUCUCUCCUUUUUUUCCUCACAUCUCUUUUUUAUGUCCUGAGCUAACAAAGGUAUCUCUCCCUCUUCCCUUACCUCACUUACAGAACGGUUAUGGAUCUCUCAAUGUAUAUUUCAAUUAUCUACCUAUCGUAUCGCGCAUGUUAUUUCACUAGUGUAACUCUAUUGCAA